GAUGAACGCUGACAGAAUGCUUAACACAUGCAAGUCUACUUGAUCCUUCGGGUGAUGGUGGCGGACGGGUGAGUAACGCGUAAAGAACUUGCCUUGCAGUCUGGGACAACGUCUGGAAACGGACGCUAAUACCGGAUAUUAUGAUUGAAUCGCAUGAUUUGAUUAUGAAAGCUAUAUGCGCUGCGAGAGAGCUUUGCGUCCCAUUAGUUAGUUGGUGAGGUAACGGCUCACCAAGACGAUGAUGGGUAGCCGGCCUGAGAGGGUGAACGGCCACAAGGGGACUGAGACACGGCCCUUACUCCUACGGGAGGCAGCAGUGGGGAAUAUUGGACAAUGGACCAAAAGUCUGAUCCAGCAAUUCUGUGUGCACGAUGAAGUUUUUCGGAAUGUAAAGUGCUUUCAGUUGGGACGAAGUAAGUGACGGUACCAACAGAAGAAGCGACGGCUAAAUACGUGCCAGCAGCCGCGGUAAUACGUAUGUCGCAAGCGUUAUCCGGAUUUAUUGGGCGUAAAGCGCGUCUAGGCGGUUUGGUAAGUCUGAUGUGAAAAUGCGGGGCUCAACUCCGUAUUGCGUUGGAAACUGCCAAACUAGAGUACUGGAGAGGUGGGCGGAACUACAAGUGUAGAGGUGAAAUUCGUAGAUAUUUGUAGGAAUGCCGAUGGGGAAGCCAGCCCACUGGACAGAUACUGACGCUAAAGCGCGAAAGCGUGGGUAGCAAACAGG
RNAcentral lists this ribosomal RNA (724 nucleotides) under uncultured bacterium. RNAcentral describes it as "bacterial SSU rRNA". It matches the Rfam family "Bacterial small subunit ribosomal RNA", at positions 28 to 776 of the family's 1533-position model. The record is from RNAcentral.